GGGGAAUAUUGCACAAUGGGGGAAACCCUGAUGCAGCAACGCCGCGUGAAGGAUGAAGGUUUUCGGAUUGUAAACUUCUUUAGUCAGGGACGAAUAAAUGACGGUACCUGAAGAAUAAGCCACGGCUAACUACGUGCCAGCAGCCGCGGUAAUACGUAGGUGGCAAGCGUUGUCCGGAUUUACUGGGCGUAAAGGAUGCGUAGGCGGAUAUUUAAGUGAGAUGUGAAAUACCCGGGCUCAACUUGGGUGCUGCAUUUCAAACUGGAUAUCUAGAGUGCAGGAGAGGAAAGUGGAAUUCCUAGUGUAGCGGUGAAAUGCGUAGAGAUUAGGAAGAACAUCAGUGGCGAAGGCGACUUUCUGGACUGUAACUGACGCUGAGGCAUGAAAGCGUGGGGAGCAAACA
This 403-nucleotide ribosomal RNA is filed under the name uncultured Eubacteriales bacterium. Its description in RNAcentral is "bacterial SSU rRNA". It matches the Rfam family "Bacterial small subunit ribosomal RNA", at positions 356 to 774 of the family's 1533-position model. Lineage: Bacteria; Bacillati; Bacillota; Clostridia; Eubacteriales. The record is from RNAcentral.